This 461-nucleotide ribosomal RNA is filed under the name uncultured bacterium. Its description in RNAcentral is "partial 16S ribosomal RNA". It matches the Rfam family "Bacterial small subunit ribosomal RNA", at positions 338 to 795 of the family's 1533-position model. The record is from RNAcentral.
CCUACGGGUGGCAGCAGUGAGGAAUAUUGGUCAAUGGGCGGAAGCCUGAACCAGCCAAGUCGCGUGAGGGAUUAAGGCCCUGCGGGUCGUAAACCUCUUUUGCCGGGGAGCAGAGGUCCGGACGUGUCCGGGCCGGGAGAGUACCCGGAGAAAAAGCAUCGGCUAACUCCGUGCCAGCAGCCGCGGUAAUACGGAGGAUGCGAGCGUUAUCCGGAUUUACUGGGUGUAAAGGGAGCGUAGACGGUUAUGUAAGUCUGGAGUGAAAGCCCGGGGCCCAACCCCGGGACUGCUUUGGAAACUGUGUAACUGGAGUACAGGAGGGGCAGGCGGAAUUCCUGGUGUAGCGGUGAAAUGCGUAGAUAUCAGGAGGAACACCGGCGGCGAAGGCGGCCUACUGGACUGAAACUGACGUUGAGGCUCGAAAGCGUGGGGAGCAAACAGGAUUAGAUACCCCAGUAGUC